GACGAACGCUGGCGGCGUGCUUAACACAUGCAAGUCGAACGGAAAGGCCCUGCUUUUGUGGGGUGCUCGAGUGGCGAACGCGUGCGUAACACGUGAGUAACCUGCCCUUGACUUUGGGAUAACUUCAGGAAACUGGGGCUAAUACCGGAUAGGAGCUCCUGUUGCAUUGUGGGGGUUGGAAAGUUUCGGCGGUUGGGGAUGGACUCGCGGCUUAUCAGCUUGCUGGUGGGGUAGUGGCUUACCAAGGCUUUGACGGGUAGCCGGCCUGAGAGGGUGACCGGCCACAUGGGGACUGAGAGACGGACCAGACUCGUACGGGAGGCAGCAGGGGGGAAUAUUGCACAGUGGGCGGAAGCCUGAGGAAGAAGCGCCGCGUGCGGGAUGACGGCCUUCGGGUUGAGAACCGCUUUCGCCUGUGACGAAGCGUGAGUGACGGUAAUGGGUAAAGAAGCACCGGCUAACUACGUG
This 468-nucleotide ribosomal RNA is filed under the name uncultured bacterium. RNAcentral's name for it is "partial 16S ribosomal RNA". It matches the Rfam family "Bacterial small subunit ribosomal RNA", at positions 28 to 507 of the family's 1533-position model. The record is from RNAcentral.